RNAcentral lists this unclassified non-coding RNA (444 nucleotides) under Hevea brasiliensis (rubber tree). The record is from RNAcentral. Lineage: Eukaryota; Viridiplantae; Streptophyta; Magnoliopsida; Malpighiales; Euphorbiaceae.
CCCAAAUAUUUUUCAAUUAUCUAGACAAUAAAUCAAAUAUGAACAAGGGAUGGAUUUUAUAGUAAGUGAAAAAUUCAAUAUACAAGUUGGGCAGUUAGAGAAUUGGAGGACAAUUCAAAAUUAACGAGUUGUGGACACAAAUAGAGGCUGAGAUUUGUGGAAAAGGACCUUGCGAACAGACCCAUCAUGCUUAUCAAAACUAUCAAUUAAUGUCCCCAUUCAGUAGUCCCAUAGCUGGAUCACACCACUUUGAAGGCUCACAAGGAUCCACGGUCUCCUACUGUCGAAACUCAGUCCUUUCGCUCUAUUACUCUUCUUCUUAAACUUUAUCAACAUCUUCUUCGAUCAAAUAGAACAACCUUUUCCAAAAGAACAACUCAAUCAAUUUCAGAGAAUUAUCGUAAACUCACAGAUGUAGCAUUAAGGUGAGGGUGAGAAGCGAAA